RNAcentral lists this ribosomal RNA (460 nucleotides) under uncultured bacterium. RNAcentral describes it as "partial 16S ribosomal RNA". It matches the Rfam family "Bacterial small subunit ribosomal RNA", at positions 338 to 795 of the family's 1533-position model. The record is from RNAcentral.
CCUACGGGUGGCAGCAGUGAGGAAUAUUGGUCAAUGGACGAGAGUCUGAACCAGCCAAGUAGCGUGAAGGAUGACUGCCCUAUGGGUUGUAAACUUCUUUUAUAUGGGAAUAAAAUGUUCCACGUGUGGGAUUUUGUAUGUACCAUAUGAAUAAGGAUCGGCUAACUCCGUGCCAGCAGCCGCGGGAAUUCGGAGGAACCGAGCGUUAUACGGAUUUAUUGGGUUUAAAGGGAGCGUAGGUGGAUUGUUAAGUCAGUUGUGAAAGUUUGCGGCUCAACCGUAACAUUGCAGUUGAAACUGGCAGUCUUGAGUACAGUAGAAGUGGGCGGAAUUCGUGGUGUAGCGGUGAAAUGCUUAGAUAUCACGAAGAACUCCGAUUGCGAAGGCAGUUCACUGGACUGCAACUGACACUGAGGCUCGAAAGUGUGGGUAUCAAACAGGAUUAGAUACCCUGGUAGUC